RNAcentral lists this unclassified non-coding RNA (1027 nucleotides) under Hevea brasiliensis (rubber tree). The record is from RNAcentral. Lineage: Eukaryota; Viridiplantae; Streptophyta; Magnoliopsida; Malpighiales; Euphorbiaceae.
AGGGAGGAUGUGCAUAUGAAUAUUGAGGCGGCUCUCACAGAUAUGAUUGGUGAACCUGCAAAGAAGCUUCAUACUGCGAGGAGUCGGAAUGAUCAAGUUGUGACGGAUCUCCGGUUGUGGUGUCGGGAUGCUAUUGAUGGAAUUGUCACGCGGAUCAGGCAGCUUCAGAUGUCACUAGUUUGCUUGGCAAUUAAAAAUAAGGGAGUGAUAGUUCCUGGAUAUACUCAUCUACAGAGGGCACAACCUGUGUUACUGCAACAUCAUCUUUUGUCAUAUGUUGAGCAGCUUGAACGUGAUGCUGGUCGAUUGACUGACUGUAAGGACCGGAUGAAUUACUGCCCCCUCGGUGCUUGUGCUCUGGCUGGUACAGGCCUUCCUAUUAACAGGUUCGCUACAUCAGUUGCAUUGGGAUUUAUAGCACCAAUGAGGAACAGCAUUGAUGCAGUAUCAGAUCGUGAUUUCGUACUGGAAUUUCUCUCUGCCAAUUCCAUUACUGCCAUUCAUCUUUCAAGGCUUGGUGAAGAAUGGGUAAUGUGGGCAUCAGAAGAAUUUGGGUUCUUGACCCCAAGUGACUCAGUUUCUACUGGAAGCAGCAUCAUGCCCCAAAAGAAAAAUCCUGAUCCUAUGGAACUUGUCCGUGGAAAGUCUGCUAGGGUUGUCGGAGAUCUUGUUACACUUCUAGUCCUUUGUAAAGGACUACCUCAGUCCUACAAUCGUGAUCUGCAGGAAGACAAAGAACCUCUAUUUGAUAGUGUUAAAACUAUCAGAGGAAUGCUUGAAGUAACAACUGAGUUUUCACAGAACAUUUCUUUUAACCUUGCAAAAAUUGAAGCAACUCUACCAGCUGGGCAUCUUGAUGCCACGACCCUUGCAGAUUAUCUUGUGAAGAAGGGUCUUCCCUUUAGAACUUCACAUGGCAUAGUUGCAAGAACUGUUGCUCUGUGCGCCUCAAAGAGCUGCCGACUUGAGGAUCUCACUCUUGAUCAACUACGCAGUAUAAAUCCAGUGUUCGAUGAGGAUGUCUACG